This is a long non-coding RNA of Amphibalanus amphitrite, 515 nucleotides long. RefSeq lists it as uncharacterized. The transcript is spliced from 2 exons. NCBI's taxonomy places the organism in Eukaryota, Metazoa, Arthropoda, Thecostraca, Balanomorpha, Balanidae. The record is from RefSeq and is a predicted model, not a curated record.
ACCUUGUAAUCAGCGUUUGACAGACGUUAUGAACAGCCACCUAAGAGCGCGUAUUGGAAUUCCUCAGCGUAUUGUCUGUGUUCCGAUGCGCCACGAUAAGAGGCUGUCUAAUUAUACCGUCGACAAAUGCGCCGCAGCUGAUAAUCAUCUCGGUUUCCAGCUGGCCGACUUCGCCGAUGAUCAGAACACUGCUACGUCGUUGGGUUUUGAGCUCCUCGACGCAAUGAUGGCGGCGCGCUCACCGCCGUCACCGACCCGCAGGCCACGCCCACCACUGUCGGUGCCGACGAAAAAAUCGCCGCUGAGUGGCUGGCCGUAUUGAUUUUGAGCCGCCCUUGGCGUGCAGAUUAUGCGGCGCGGGAGGAGCGCAGUAAAAACACGCAUCGACACCGACGGGGUGCGUCGACGAUCAAUGGCCGACGAUCGACCGUGACGUCACUGCGCCGAAGGAAUCGUCGGCAGCUCCGGAUGAGGCUCUUGUCGCAUGCUGAGGCGUCACCUCAUCUCUUUCCAGG